Long non-coding RNA from Aegilops tauschii subsp. strangulata, 533 nucleotides. RefSeq lists it as uncharacterized. The record is from RefSeq and is a predicted model, not a curated record. Lineage: Eukaryota; Viridiplantae; Streptophyta; Magnoliopsida; Poales; Poaceae.
GCCCGUAACCCUCUUGGAUCCAGCUUUAUAUGAGGAUGCUGGCGACGUUUCCCCAAGCGCGCAAAUGGCAAUUCAGACACAUCGUCUCUGUUUUCGCUCGUAGCAGCUCGGCAACAUUCUUCGAAGUUCGACCUCAGAUGGUGCUUACUGUAGGUGAUCUGAUUUCUCGACGGAGCCAGCUUAUGCCCGUGGAGGAGACAAUGCCGAAGUGCCACUGGUUGGAGGUAGUUUACCUUGAAGUGUUGUUCGCUGAGGCAGAUGAUUUAGAAUUUGUACUCUAAAAUCUAGAGGACAAUGAACCUUUCAGUUGGUCGAAGCAUUGCGUGGGGAAGGUAUUAUAGGGAUGGUUGAGUUUAUGACCUCUGCAGGGUGGCAAGAGAGCUUGUUUGGAUGUCGAGAGGUUUUUUGUUUGCGAACGUGAGAUUUUGGUUCUCUCUGGACUCUGUACAUUAUUGUAUAGUUUGGAUUUGGAUUUCUUUGGAGAGAUUGCUUCUUUGUGGAGGACCUUGGAGGAUCGUGAGAGUUAGGUCAAA